UAACGCGAAGAACCUUACCAGGUCUUGACAUCCUUUGAAGCUUUUAGAGAUAGAAGUGUUCUCUUCGGAGACAAAGUGACAGGUGGUGCAUGGUCGUCGUCAGCUCGUGUCGUGAGAUGUUGGGUUAAGUCCCGCAACGAGCGCAACCCUUAUUGUUAGUUGCCAGCAUUCAGAUGGGCACUCUAGCGAGACUGCCGGUGACAAACCGGAGGAAGGCGGGGACGACGUCAGAUCAUCAUGCCCCUUAUGACCUGGGCUACACACGUGCUACAAUGGCGUAUACAACGAGUUGUCAGCCCGCGAGGGUGAGCUAAUCUCUUAAAGUACGUCUCAGUUCGGAUUGUAGUCUGCAACUCGACUACAUGAAGUCGGAAUCGCUAGUAAUCGCGGAUCAGC
This 396-nucleotide ribosomal RNA is filed under the name uncultured bacterium. Its description in RNAcentral is "bacterial SSU rRNA". It matches the Rfam family "Bacterial small subunit ribosomal RNA", at positions 957 to 1353 of the family's 1533-position model. The record is from RNAcentral.